Molecule: ribosomal RNA, 339 nt
Filed under: Phaenonotum sp. Peru MF846
Lineage: Eukaryota; Metazoa; Arthropoda; Insecta; Coleoptera; Hydrophilidae
Description: partial 16S ribosomal RNA
Source: RNAcentral
AUAAGUUUCAAUAAAUUAAAAGUUUAUAAAAUUUUAAAGUCACCCCAACCAAAUAUUACUUAAUAAAAAAAUACUUAAAAAUAUAAAGUAUAAUAUUAAACUCUAUAGGGUCUUCUCGUCUUAUAGAAAAAUUUAAGCUUUUUAACUUAAUAAUAAAAUUCAUUAAACUUAAAUAAACAAAGUAACUUUCUCAUCCAACCAUUCAUACAAGUUCUCAAUCAAAAAACUAAUGAUUACGCUACCUUUGUACAGUUAGUAUACCGCAGCCAUUAAAACUCUCAUUGGGCAGGUCAAACUUUAUAAAAUUAACAAAAAGACAUGUUUUUGUUAAACAGGCGA